ACACACACACACCGUCUAUUUCCCUCCCCCAGCCGUUCUCCAUCCUUCCCGCUUCCCGGAUUGAGAGUGCCCGGCCGGCACCCAGACUCCACGGCACAUACAAACAGCUAGAGCCGCUAAAAAUCGCCAAAAAAACCCGCAGGGAUAAACGCAGAGGUCUGAUGUCGGGAAUCGGACAGGCUCCAAGUAGCGGCCGAGUGAAGUUGACGAUGGCGGCCGAUUGCCGUUCUCAAUAAGCCGCCAGCUUUGCGUGACCUUAUGUGCUAGCACAAGGAGAUUCGAGCACCAGGUUUACAACGUUUAAUCCCUGUGGCCGGUGGCAGUUUGAGACAACACGUCCAACCAGGUCUACCGAGUUGUUCAUCACUUACGUGAUCCUAGGGUCAACCGCACUCUUUCGGGGUCACCCCUUGAUUACUGUGGUUGCAUUAAACUGCAUGUUCUGGGAGCAUUAUGUAAUGUCCCUUGCAAGUUCAACCUGUAUGUACUAUGUACAGCAUAGGCUUUAACUUUUAUAUAUGAGGUUUUUACUCACAAAAUGGUUAUUUUCAAUAUGAAUAUUGUACUAUGCAAUAUAUAAUUUACGAUAUAUAAAUAACAAGUGAUCAUGUUUUAAAAUCCUGUGCUUAAAGUGAAACAGAUUUAUAGAUUAUACCUGUUUGUGAAGAUUUCACUGAGCAUAUGUAAUCAAUGACAUGAGCAUUAUUUGUGAAAUACAGUUUUUAACCCAAAUGGGUACCACC
Long non-coding RNA from Leucoraja erinaceus (little skate), 743 nucleotides. RefSeq lists it as uncharacterized. The record is from RefSeq and is a predicted model, not a curated record. The transcript has 2 exons. NCBI's taxonomy places the organism in Eukaryota, Metazoa, Chordata, Chondrichthyes, Rajiformes, Rajidae.